Molecule: ribosomal RNA, 497 nt
Filed under: uncultured bacterium
Lineage: Bacteria
Description: partial 16S ribosomal RNA
Rfam family: Bacterial small subunit ribosomal RNA
Source: RNAcentral
GAUGAACGCUGGCGGCGUGCCUAAUACAUGCAAGUCGAGCGAACGGACGGGAAGCUUGCUUUUCUGAUGUUAGCGGCGGACGGGUGAGUAACACGUGGAUAACCUACCUAUAAGACUGGGAUAACUUCGGGAAACCGGAGCUAAUACCGGAUAAUAUUUUGAACCGCAUGGUUCAAAAGUGAAAGACGGUCUUGCUGUCACUUAUAGAUGGAUCCGCGCUGCAUUAGCUAGUUGGUAAGGUAACGGCUUACCAAGGCAACGAUGCAUAGCCGACCUGAGAGGGUGAUCGGCCACACUGGAACUGAGACACGGUCCAGACUCCUACGGGAGGCAGCAGUAGGGAAUCUUCCGCAAUGGGCGAAAGCCUGACGGAGCAACGCCGCGUGAGUGAUGAAGGUCUUCGGAUCGUAAAACUCUGUUAUUAGGGAAGAACAUAUGUGUAAGUAACUGUGCACAUCUUGACGGUACCUAAUCAGAAAGCCACGGCUAACUACGUG